GCCCGGGUGGCGAAACUGGCAGACGCACGGGACUUAAAAUCCCGAGUGCCGCGAGGCACGUACCGGUUCGAUUCCGGUCCCGGGCACCA
Molecule: transfer RNA, 89 nt
Filed under: Rhizobiaceae bacterium
Lineage: Bacteria; Pseudomonadati; Pseudomonadota; Alphaproteobacteria; Hyphomicrobiales; Rhizobiaceae
Description: tRNA-Leu
Rfam family: tRNA
About the family: Transfer RNA (tRNA) molecules are approximately 80 nucleotides in length. Their secondary structure includes four short double-helical elements and three loops (D, anti-codon, and T loops). Further hydrogen bonds mediate the characteristic L-shaped molecular structure. tRNAs have two regions of fundamental functional importance: the anti-codon, which is responsible for specific mRNA codon recognition, and the 3' end, to which the tRNAs corresponding amino acid is attached (by aminoacyl-tRNA synthetases). tRNAs cope with the degeneracy of the genetic code in two manners: having more than one tRNA (with a specific anti-codon) for a particular amino acid; and 'wobble' base-pairing, i.e. permitting non-standard base-pairing at the 3rd anti-codon position.
Source: RNAcentral